Molecule: RNA transcript, 3304 nt
Organism: Salvia splendens (bonfire salvia)
Lineage: Eukaryota; Viridiplantae; Streptophyta; Magnoliopsida; Lamiales; Lamiaceae
Exons: 9
Source: RefSeq, a predicted model, not a curated record
UUUCAAUUUUGUACUCCUAUAUAUAGGAAAAAGACAUCGAUGUAGACACCAAAUUCACUAAUAUAUCAUCACCCGCAUACGACGCCGCCGCCGCCUCUUGUGCCAUUGUAAAGCCCUAAUGGUUCCAUCCUCCGCCGUGGUCUCGCCGAAACCAUCGAUCCCAGAAGGAGAUGAUGAGGAGUACGAGAUCGUCUACGAGGAAAUCGAAGUGGAAGAGGAGAUUGAAGUCGAAGAAGAGGUAGAGGAAGAAGACGAUGUCGGAGCCGAUCAUGUCGAAAAUGGAGGGGAUGUUGAAAUUGGAGAGGAUCUAACUGCUUCGAGCCUAAAAAAUCUGGAAACUGAUACUGGUAAGAUUCUAGAGCUUGAUGAGCAGAAACACGAUAGACAAUCAAGUUCCUUUACUGAAGAAUUUUUGGUUUCAAAAAUUGGAGAUGUGAAACCUUUUGAGUCUCGUGAAAAAGAAGAAUUAUACGGCAAUGGGGGAGAAAUCUCUACAUACAAUCAGGAAAAAAUACCUUUGAAUGACAGUACAGAAGUAAAUCAUGCCAAAACCUCUCCUUCCAUUGGAGAUGUUAAUGCCACAUCCACAAUGGAUAAUGCUUCUGGGGAGAAUGAUAGUGCUAUUGCAUCAAUCAUGGAAAAAACCGACCAGACUGCUUUAGAAGGUGUUGGCAAUAUAUCACCCAGGUUGCAUGCUGCAAAAAUAAGGUUUAGGAAUCCUUCACCCAGUGCUGAAAUUGAUCGUGAGAGCAAAAAAAUAAGGAUGGUGUGUGAAUUUCAUGCCAAAGGAUGGUGCAUCAGAGGAAAGUCUUGUAGAUUCCUUCACACAAAGGAAGCACCAGAUGCAGUGAUAAUAAAAAGUGAAGCCUUGGGGAGGGAAGCAGCAUCUUCUAAUGCAUUUAUUCCACCCCUACAAAGUGGGGACACAAAUUUAAGUAGCGAGACAGAAAAGCUGGUUCUUCCUGAAGAUGGUACCUAUCCGGGUGCUCCUACACGGGAAGAUAGGAGUGUCAGGCACAACUUAUAUCUGGAUAAUUGCCAGAACUAUGGCAGUCCUCCUGUCCAAGGAAUUUUAAAUGCUAGAGAUGGUCUGGAGCAUCAUGCUUACAUAUCCUCUUCAAUGCAACAAAGUAUUCCGCAAGCUUUUCGUUCUGAAUCAGAUUCUCUGUUGCGUGAUGGUAGUUUCAGGGAACCCAAGCCACCCAAGGUGGAGGCUACUUUCUCUUCUUUUGAUUGGCAGCUAUCUGCUCUUUUCUGCCCAUCUUAUGAGAUAACUCGAAGCAUAUUGUUGAAAGAAUGUGGCUAUGACAGCGCUGAUCAGAAAUAUGUUAUGGAUAUCCAGGCGAUAUUUUCACAUUCUGACCAGGGAUCAUCUGAUAAGAAUGUAACUGUUCAGUCAAGCAGUCCUCAAGGGGAGGAAAAACUUUUGAAUUAUGUACUUGCUGGUGAUAAUGGGAAGGAAAAUAUAUUGAGCUCUAGCAAUGAUGAUAAAGUGAAACUCAAUAAGACAGUGGAUGGAACAAUAUCUGAAGUUGGCGGAUCAGGCACAAAACAUGAUAUUGAAGCUGACUUUAGGCAAGAUGAUCAUGUGCAAAGUGAUACGAAGGCUUUCAAAUAUUUCCAAUCUGCACUAAUAGAAUCUGUGAAAGAAUUAGUGAAACCAACUUGGCGGGAAGGCUUUCUAAGCAAAGAUGCCCAUAAAUUGAUUGUUAAGAAGGCUGUCAACAAGGUUCUUAGUUCUUUGCCAGCCCACCAAAUUCCUAGCACAGAAGAAUCUGUCCAGUCAUAUCUUUCUUCAUCUCAGCCCAAACUUGCAAAGCUAGUUGAGGGAUACCUCAAUAUUUAUGGCAAAAUUUGAGAAUGUUGAAUGAUUAUGCUUGUGCUGUACUCUCCGCAAAAGGAAAGUUUUGAUCCCUUUAUGGUGGGCCCUUUAUGCUUCUUCCUUUUAUCAAGAGAUAUCUAAUUUAUUGGUGAAAACUUCCAAAACCUUGAUCAGGUUCAAGAGAUAUCUAUAGUGCAAGUUUCCAAACAGAAUUUUGGGACUUUGUAGAGGGUCAUCAGGAUGCUACACCCCAUGCAUAUGCCAUCAAGAUAGGCCUAAACUAGUCCAGAUUUUCUCAUUAAAGACACUCACUCAUGAAGGUGCAUGGCAAUCAAAUUUGAAGUCUAAAAAAUGCAUGCGCACCAGGUAGAGCAUCAGCAAGCCUUCUUUGAGAAUCAGGUGCUUCUGUUGGCGUGGUUAGUAUGAAGCAAAGAAGUCUCUCAUGGGCCCUUCCAGUUUUAUUUAUAUCUGUUAAUUGUCUUAUUGCCAUGGGAUCACUGCGUAGGAGUUAAUAGUAGAUCAACAGACAAGCCAUUAGCAAUUGCAAGCUCAGCUGAUAGAAGUGAUGAGAUGUGGAAAGUGAAGUCUGUUAUUGUACACUUUCCUCACUGCGAUGUGUGUUGUUUGAUGCUUUGGGUUGGUUGACUGGAACGACAAUCUCUGCAAGGGGUGGCAAAUGAUGAUAGCAGCUUCUGACUGAAACUUUUGUCUCCUGCCGACUGCUUCUCAUUUGCUCUCCUUUUGGCUUGGGAAACUUGCUUCCUGCUGCUACUUUGGUGAUUUGGCUGCUUCACAUCCGACUCUCUCCUGUUCCGAGGAAUUUGUAGGAAACUCUCCAAUGGUACUUUCUUAGAAGCUCGAUGCCGUGAACUCCGUAUUGUAGUCGCUUGCUGGUAGUUUGAAAUUGAUUUACCAGGUGAACAGUUGUUUGGGCUCACAUUCAUCGAGCCAACAUUGGAGCAGCUGAAUUCGAACUCCUGGUGGUCUUCUUUCUUUUCUUUUGAGUUGAUGAGGCCUGCAAAGGAAAGCUCGAGGGGAAAUCUGCUGCAACAUCUGGGAACAUUUUCUUCGGCAUGGUGAACUACUGGACUUGUGUUGACAGAUAGCUGCAUUUUAAAAUAAUUUUCGGAUGCCUCAAUUUAGUUGCUGAAAGAAAAGUAUUGAAAGAAGUGGUUGUUGAUUCAUACGAGGUUGGAUGUGGGAGACUCCGAAACAAGCUUGAAACCGACUCCAAAUGUUGGUGCUACUGCUUAAACUCAUCUACUGUCACUUUCAAAUGGAGUUCGGUAAAAGGUGAAUUGUCCAAUGUGAUCUGCAUCCUAGCCGGCCUUUGCAAAAUUACUUGUUCAAAAUUUCACUGUUAUGAAAAUUUGCAAACCAAAUGAGCCGGAACGAUUUGUUUUUAGAAUAUGUUUUUCACUUGAAUUUGUGGGUGUGGUGACUCCAACUUAGAAUAUGAUCAAUAAUGGUUUUUCAUUUGAA